CAAAAAGCAAAGUGAGAACUGUGAGAUGAAGUUUCAGAUAUUCUUUAUUAUAGAAAACUAAACAGAUCACUGGUUUGGAUCGGAAACUUGUACGUGGCUGCAAGAGAAAUAGCAGAACAAAACAAAAUGUGGUUGUCGUGUGAACAUCGUGACUCCCCAUGCUCUCAACUCCAUGUUGUUUCUCAGAUUUCAGGCCUGAGCCAGCCAUCGUAACCACAAGAAGUUUUGAUACUGACCUGUCAUCAACUCAUCACCAACAAUCUCAGUAUAACCAAUCGGAUAAACAGCUCUUAGUGUAAUUGGAAAAACUAUGUCCUCGUGUACACCCAUGUGAGUGUGGGGGUAUUCACGAGUCGACCCCUUUUCCUAUCCUGCCUGGCGUCAACUUCACUGAGGAUGGAGCAGUUGGAGCACUUGUGGAUGCCUGGCUGUGGAUUUCCCGGGCGUAAAGGUAGGACAAAUUUAUCUUCAUUCUUCCUUUGGACUAUUUCUUGGCGUUGAUAGUACGAUUAUUUCUGAGUUAGGCCUUUGACUGAAAGUUUUCUCUUGCCGUUUCUUAAAGCUCAAUCAGGGUUCAUUAAAUAACUCAUUUGAAGCAGAGCGACUGCAUAUCAGGCCUGUUUUAUACCUCACAACUUUGUCUGCGGGUCAACAAUCAA
Molecule: long non-coding RNA, 659 nt
Organism: Daphnia pulex (common water flea)
Lineage: Eukaryota; Metazoa; Arthropoda; Branchiopoda; Diplostraca; Daphniidae
Exons: 3
Source: RefSeq, a predicted model, not a curated record